CAAUCACUGCAUGACUCAUUAAAAAUAGAACUCAACAGCUCUACAUUGAGGUUACUGGUUGACCCCAAGAACAAGACAAGUGUAUGAGAAAAUGGUUAAUGUACUCAUUAUUAUUGCUCUUGGAUUCUCUUCUCGAGAUGGUUGAAAUGCUCAACUAGUUGAUCGAUCAGGACAUAUACCUUCAGCCCUUUCCCUCACUUUCUCAUCCUCCUAUAGAAACAAGGAGUCUCUGUCCAUUUAUUUGUCGUCAAACUCUGUGCAUGGAAUCACUGCCUCAGAAAUACUACUAUUUCAAAUGACUUCAGUUUCCUCUCACAAUGCUGUGGUUCUACUCAAAACAGAUCAUGCAAUCAAACAAAGGAAGGGAAGCUAUUUUGUGAUUCCAGUCGAAACACAUGAAGCAGUCAAACAGAGAGAGCGCGACAAAUUCCCACUACGAAAUGAUAGCCAGGCAUUCUCGCAAACAACUCAUCGUCACAAAGCCGAUGCCACAGAGGGUGAAUCGGCUGUUCAACCAUUACAGCAACAACAAAUCCACAAUUCCUUGAUCGUCCAAAAUCAUCUCCGAGCGCAUAUGUGGGAAAAUUUAGAUCGAGCUGAUAUCAGUUUUUUUGCCGUAAAAUGUUUGUCAGAAUUGACAAAAAAAGAACUUGUUUUGUGUGCUUUGAACAGCCAAUUGCGUGAAUAAUAAUAACCAAUCGAGACACACCGAGAGUCAGCCGAAGAAGAUUGGGUUCGUCGAGGCCAAUCGCCGCCGUCGCGCAAUGUUAUCGACGGUGAUUGGGUUCGUCGAGGCCAAUCGCCGCCAUCGCGCAAUGUUGUCGACGGUGACUGGGUUCGUCGAGGCCACUCCCCGCCACCGCGCACCCCCAAUGGGACUUACAGACUGAUAACCGUCACUCGCCUUGCAAGCAAACCUCCGUGGGU
Molecule: long non-coding RNA, 927 nt
Filed under: Musa acuminata (dwarf banana)
Lineage: Eukaryota; Viridiplantae; Streptophyta; Magnoliopsida; Zingiberales; Musaceae
Description: long non-coding RNA (MACU_LNC006335)
Source: RNAcentral